AUCUCUACAACUAUUAAGACUCAUCUGUAGACUGCCCCCGCUCCUUGCCCAACGAAACCCCCGCUCCCGCACGCCCCGCCGACCUCUGCUGCCGCAACGCCGCAGCCGCCGCGAAAUCCGCACCCACCCGCGCGACCUCUACUGCCGCAAGGCCGCAGCCGCCGCGAAAUUUGCACCCACCCGCGCGCCGCAGCCCUUUGUCCGCGCCGGAGCCUAGCACCGAACCGCCGCGGAUUCGCCACUACAUCACCGGCCAUGGCUUCGGGCAUGCCACCCGCGCCCUCGAGGUGGUGAGGCACCUGGUCACCGCAGGGCACGACGUGCACGUGGUCAUCGCCGCGCCCGAGUUCGUCUUCACCACCGAGAUCGCCUCCCCCAGCCUCUCCGACAAGCUCGCGUCCCCGUCCACAUCCGAGAUGCUCGCGCCCGCGCCUUGGAUGGAAGCCCAGAAUCGCCUUCCAUCGAGGAUUCUACACCACGCGUCGCGCCCCCUCCCCGCACGCAAGCCCCCGCCUGCACAUUCUCCGCCACCCCAUCCCCUGUCCGGCGCGUGUGCCACGGCCUCCCUCGACCAGCGGCACGCGUACGCCAUCACCCCCUCCCUACUGCUCCCAUCCGCGGUGCUCACCUUCGCCAUCGCGCAAUCCAUCAAGGUCCUCACCACCUGGUAUAAGGAGAACCGGUGGGACGCGAAGCAGCUGGUGGGCUCCGGUGGGAUGCCGUCCUCGCACUCAGCCACCGUCACAGCGCUCGCUGUCGCCGUCGGCCUGUAAGAGGGGCUCGCCAGCUCGUUGUUCGCCACCGCCGUCGUCUUUGUCUUCGUGGCACAAUAAGCCACUUCAGGCUUCAGUCUGUUCUGUGAUCAGCAGAACAUUAUGGGCUCUAAAGCAGGAGGACUUUUGAGGUAUUUUGAUGCCAAAAUUUUUAGACAUACCAUCAUUGAAGUUGCUCUGAUCUGUACAACAUUUACAAGAUUUACAGAGCUUCAACUAAGUCAACUUGUUGAGUCGCUUGUUACAUAUCUUUUGCAUAUGGGAAAAAAUAAUAGAUAAGGUACUUGGAGUUGGCAAACAAUUGUUUGAUAUACCCUUUUCAUAUGCACUUGUUUUUUGGUUACCAACCUACUAGCUAAUAACAAGUUUUCACUCAUCUCUACCAUUUUUCGGAAUGGCGACGUCUCUUCGCUAUAUGUCAAUCAUAGAGGUAGUGUGAGACACAUAUUGGCAACUGACCAAAUGACUUCAGAUAUUUGGGGUCUCAUCGAUGUUCAAACAGAGAAUGCACAAAGUAGUCAGAAAUGGUAAUUAUAUUGUCAUUGUUGUUGCUGGUAGUGAUGUUACUGUUCUACUAUCACGAAGGAGAAAUUUGAUCCAAUUGGUGGGCCUUUGCCUAAACUUUCACAAGCUGAUUCCAAGCAAUGUGUCUAAAAUCUUUUUCUUGUGUUGGUAACCACCAGAUGCUUGUCAAUUGUCAAACUUAUUUUGGUUGGCUUAUUUUCAAGAUUAAAUGAUCUCUGGUAACUGAGGAGAAUGCUGUAGAUGUUGAUUUUCCUUUUAGGAAGGUGAAGCUCUCCGAUGUGGUAGGGGGAAUGGAAAAUGUGCAUAUAUGCUUCUGAUUGCAGUGAGAUUAGCCUCGUCCAAGUUAUGGGAUCUGCCAUGAACUAGACAAGAUUAUAAGUUUACAGAGGCCUUACAUCAAGAGAGUACAAGAUUGCCAUAAGGAAGUAAAGUCUUUGAGGAAAGUGACCUUAUGAGAAGCUUGAGAAAAUCAACUUGUGUGUGAGAAGUUUUGUCUACUUGUGCUAAUUAGUCAUAUGAUAUUUUUAGUCAUGAACUAGACAAGAUCAGAAGUUUAAAGAGGUUUUAAAUCGAGUACAAGAUCGCCAUAAGGAAGUACAAGUCUUUGAGGAAAGUGACCUUAUGAAAAGUUUGAGCAAAUCAACUUGUGUGCGAGAAGUUUUGUCUACUUGUGCUGAUCAGUCAUACCUUGGAAUAUUGCUGAACUGUUGCCUUUGUUGCUCAUUGGCUUCAAUACUUCAUACACCAUCAAAUGAGUCAUGUGCAAAAUUCUUCGAAGCAUCAGUUCUUGCUCUAGAAGAACUUCAUCAGAGGCGGGGUCGAAUCAGCAACUACGGCUGACAUGACGCUACCCAUCCAGUUGCUCACUGCUCAGGUUAUAGCGAAGAACAUUGUUUUAGCUGGAUACAAGGAGAUGCAGAAGCUCUGAGUUUUGAGGAUGGAUCUAUGGAUGGUUACACUAUCACAUUUGGGAUCAGAAAUGUGACGCACAUUGAGAAAGCUCUAUCAGAAGCUUACAGUUGAUGGUUCUAAAGCAAGGGUGGAGGUUCCUAUGCUUGGAGUUGAGUCAUGUGGAUGUCCCUAUUUUUAAAUAGAUUUAUGAUGCUUACUCGUUUUCUAUGAUUCCGGCUAUUGAAGAGCUGGUUGAUGGUGAUCGGCAGAUAGAAGACGGGCAACAUGCUAACCAGGCAUGUGAACCUUGAACCUUGGCAGGAAAAGUUUGCUCAGAUGAUUCAGGAAGCCGGAUUCCAGAGGGUGGAAUAUGAAAACCUCCUGAGCGGUGUAGUUGCCAUUCAUUCUGGACUGAAACUGUAGAGCUGAAUACGGAUGGAUGUUUUUUCAUGGGUGCACCGCUUCUACAAUUAGUAGUAUUUGUUGUUUUUUAAUGAAUUCUAUAAUAGGUUCGGUGGCUUGUAAAAGCAGCUGGUGCUGGCUGUCAGCAUUAGCACAAUAUGUAGAAUAAGUAGUAUUUGCGAGAAGUAUGUGCUGGAGCAGUAGCGUCAGUGGCUAUUUUGGCUUUUAAGCCAGCUGACCUCUUCCAUUUGUAAAGCUUUUUUCUUGGAAACGUGAAACCAUCCAGAACAUCAAAUUAGUCUUAUCACAUA
Molecule: RNA transcript, 2902 nt
Organism: Zea mays
Lineage: Eukaryota; Viridiplantae; Streptophyta; Magnoliopsida; Poales; Poaceae
Exons: 10
Source: RefSeq, a predicted model, not a curated record